UUUUAAAUUGAGAGUUUGAUCCUGGCUCAGGACGAACGCUGGCGGCGGGCCUAACACAUGCAAGUCGAGCGAUGAACCUUCCUUCGGGAAGUGGAUUAGCGGCAGACGGGUGAGUAACACGUGGGUAACCUGCCUCAAAGAGUGGGAUAGCCUCCCGAAAGGGAGAUUAAUACCGCAUAACAUUAUUUUAUGGCAUCAUAAAAUAAUCAAAGGAGCAAUCCGCUUUGAGAUGGACCCGCGGCGCAAUAGCUAGUUGGUGAGGUAACGGCUCACCAAGGCAACGAUGCGUAGCCGACCUGAGAGGGAGAUCGGCCACAUUGGAACUGAGACACGGUCCAGACUCCUACGGGAGGCAGCCGUGGGGAAUAUUGCGCAAUGGGGGAAACCCUGACGCAGCAACGCCGCGUGAGUGAUGAAGGUUUUCGGAUCGUAAAACUCUGUCUUUAGGGACGAUAAUGACGGUACCUAAGGAGGAAGCCACGGCUAACUACGUGCCAGCAGCCGCGGUAAUACGUAGGUGGCAAGCGUUGUCCGGAUUUACUGGGCGUAAAGAGUAUGUAGGUGGGUGCUUAAGUCAGAUGUGAAAUUCCCGGGCUCAACCGGGGAGCUGCAUUUGAAACGGGGCAUCUAGAGUGCAGGAGAGGAAAGUGGAAUUCCUAGUGUAGCGGUGAAAUGCGUAGAGAUUAGGAAGAACACCAGGGGCGAAGGCGACUUUCUGGACUGUAACUGACACUGAGAUACGAAAGCGUGGGUAGCAAACAGGAUUAGAUACCCUGGUAGUCCACGCCGUAAACGAUGAAUACUAGGUGUCGGGGGGUACCACCCUCGGUGCCGCAGCAAACGCAUUAAGUAUUCCGCCUGGGGAGUACGGUCGCAAGAUUAAAACUCAAAGGAAUUGACGGGGACCCGCACAAGCAGCGGAGCAUGUGGUUUAAUUCGAAGCAACGCGAAGAACCUUACCUAGACUUGACAUCUCCUGAAUUACUCUUAAUCGAGGAAGUCCCUUCGGGGACAGGAAGACAGGUGGUGCAUGGUUGUCGUCAGCUCGUGUCGUGAGAUGUUGGGUUAAGUCCCGCAACGAGCGCAACCCUUAUUGUUAGUUGCUACUAUUAAGUUAAGCACUCUAACGAGACUGCCGCGGGUAACGUGGAGGAAGGUGGGGAUG
Molecule: ribosomal RNA, 1165 nt
Filed under: Clostridium botulinum C/D str. DC5
Lineage: Bacteria; Bacillati; Bacillota; Clostridia; Eubacteriales; Clostridiaceae
Description: bacterial SSU rRNA
Rfam family: Bacterial small subunit ribosomal RNA
Source: RNAcentral